Molecule: unclassified non-coding RNA, 939 nt
Filed under: Zea mays
Lineage: Eukaryota; Viridiplantae; Streptophyta; Magnoliopsida; Poales; Poaceae
Description: misc RNA Zm00001eb022590
Source: RNAcentral
CUGGUGUUCCGCAGAGCGCUCGGACUCCGCUACGGAGUACAAAACUGGGGUACCUCGUGCGCCCCUCUUCCAUUGGCACCCUGGUGUUUGACCGCGCUGCACGAGCUAAACGCCGCCACCGUCAGGAGCGAGGUAGAUCGUCGAUUGGUCCUUGGGGAGGGGAUGCUCGGAGUGUGGGCGCGAACCCUCCAGGCCUGGAAAUCAAGCCGGGUGCGGGCAAUUGCUCGCCGUGGUGAGAGCUCCGCCGCGAAUCCGCCUCUCGCCGUGGAUAGUCUCCCUCGGACCGUCUCCUGCGCUGGGCAGCAGCUGCUUGAGGACGACCACACAGUCGUGUACCUCACUGCAUACCUGCUUACCCUGGAUGCACAGUAUGAUCUCUUGGCUCGGCACCACCGCCAGAUGAUUGCCCGAGCAGAAGAUGCAGAGAAGUGCAACCGUCAGCUCCAUGUGGUUCUCACCACAUCUCAGGCCCGUGCAGCUGCCCUGAAAAGUCGUGAAACCAUAGUUGUUGAAGCCCUGAAGCAAGCCAAGGAUGAGCACGUCCAGAAGUUGAUGGAGGCCUACUUGGUAACCCACAACCAACGUAGAGCCCUACGGAUCCAGGAGCCCGCUUCGUCCGACCCAGUUCAACCCGUGAGAGCUGAAGAUCCCCAAAUUCUUGAAGGCAAGACUAUGGAUAAGCAAGAGCACCUCAAAUCCUCCCAAGAUCCACCGCCAGAGUUGUUUGAGCCCCUCACCAUGAAGAAGAUUCCAGCACCCUCCCUUGAGGUCAAGGAAGAAGCUGCAAGUACUCCGCCAACACCAACACCCUCUGAGGAGCUACAAGAGCCAGUCCCGCUUGAAGAAGAGUUCGACCCCGUCCUACCAUCUCAGACACCGCCAGAAGAAGUCAUCAACAUCAGCUCCCUCUUAACCCAUCCAGGAGAUGUCUCAGAUUGA